CAGACACAGGAAAGGGUUAGAGCAGCUCCAGUGAUACCAUCAAUAACAGCUCAGUGAUAGGCGGAGCCACCACAGACACCCAAAACACAGCAAAACUCUCUCUCACACAUUCAGUCCCGUCAAGAGAUGACGCUCAUGUAAGCAUGCAACCACACAGUAAUGAACACUGCGAUGAAUAAGAACUGCUACACAGGAAGGGGGAUCUUUAAAACCAUCAGCCUGCAUGACAGACACAAAACAGGAAGACGCAACAGAAGAGACGCACAUCACAUCCUAUCCACACCUAUCUGUUUUGUUGUCACAUUGAUAUCAGCAAAGAGCACAUGUACAGCGGUCUCUGGAGGAAACCAUCAUAACAAGCCAUCCCUGAUAAAACAAAGUACUGUACAUGACUGUCUGAAUUGUGUAUGAUGGGGUCCUGAGAGGUCACCAGCACCUUAUGGUCCCCUUUAAGCUCCUCCCAGUCUUUGGCCGGCUGAGCGUGUGAUGUCCGCUUCAUGGUC
Molecule: non-coding RNA, 503 nt
Organism: Pimephales promelas (fathead minnow)
Lineage: Eukaryota; Metazoa; Chordata; Actinopteri; Cypriniformes; Leuciscidae
Source: RefSeq, a predicted model, not a curated record